RNAcentral lists this ribosomal RNA (1172 nucleotides) under uncultured fungus. RNAcentral describes it as "eukaryotic LSU rRNA". The stretch from base 461 to 1172 matches the Rfam family "Eukaryotic large subunit ribosomal RNA", at positions 1 to 649 of the family's 3401-position model. The record is from RNAcentral. Lineage: Eukaryota; Fungi.
AAGUCGUAACAAGGUUUCCGUAGGUGAACCUGCGGAAGGAUCAUUACAAAUCUUUGCGGGUGCUGCGUGCAUAUUUUUGUGCGUAGCAUUCUGCACAUUAGCACAAGGUCGCAAGGCCUUGAUGUUUACGCUUGUUUGUUUGACAGAGUUAGUUGAGAAUAAAUAAAGACAACUUUUAACAAUGGAUCUCUUGGCUCUUGCAACGAUGAAGAACGCAGUAAAGUGCGAUAUGUAGUGCGAUUUGCAUGAAUCUGUGAGUCAUCUAAUCUUUGAACGCAACUUGCGCCUCUUACGAGGCAUGUUUGUUUGAGUACCGCAAUUCUCUGCAGCAAUGCGAUUUGGCUCGUGUCUUUGUUGACCGAGUUUAAAAGAAGCUAGAGGAUGGUCAGUUUAGACUAGCCCGAGUGCUAAGCAUUCUUGGGUCUAGCGCUGGAUUGCUCAUUUCAUCUAUUUUUAUCUUUGGCCUCAAAUCAAGCAAGACUACCCGCUGAACUUAAGCAUAUCAGUAAGCGGAGGAAAAGAAACUAACAAGGAUUCCCCUAGUAACGGCGAGUGAAGCGGGAAUAGCUCAAAUUUAAAAUCUCGGCGUUUUACGUCGCGAAUUGUAGUCUAAAGAGGGUGAUCUAGGGUCGGCGAUUUGCUCAAGUCCCUUGGAAUAGGGCGCCAGAGAGGGUGAGAGCCCCGUGAAAGCAUGUCGCUGGCCUCAAGUGAGAACCUCUCAACGAGUCGAGUUGUUUGGGAAUGCAGCUCAAAGUGGGUGGUAAAUCUCAUCUAAGGCUAAAUACUGGCAAGAGACCGAUAGCGAACAAGUACCGUGAGGGAAAGAUGAAAAGCACCUUGAAAAGGGAGUUAAAUAGUGCGUGAAAUUGUUAAAAGGGAAACGAUAGAGACUAGUAUUGGGCGUAGGCUAAGCUGGUGUUUCGGCAUUGGUGGUGCUUGCGCUUCGAGUCAAUGUCAGUUGUCUCUGCCGGAUACGGCUUGGAGAAAGGUGGGGUCGACUUCGGUCUUCUCUUUAUAGACUCUGAUGCCUGCGGCCGAGGCGACUGGAAGUCUUGGAACGCUAGGCUACUCGGGAGUAGUAGGCGGCAGACAGCAUGCUGACUGUAGCCUUACUUAUUCUCUACUAACCGACGCUUACCUGGACGCCUUUGACGAGAUGGUUUUUAACGACC